GUAUAGCAUGGAUAUAUUCUGCUCCCUAUGAGCUUUCAAAUGCACUUGGCUCUUUUCUCCAGUUGGCUGCAUGGAACCAGAACUCGGACUCAGGUCUCUUUUCCUACUGCAGCUCAGGGUGGUGAGGGCACCAGCAAACAAUAACCUGUUUUCCUGCCCUGUGGCAGGGUCGGCGAUGGGCUGGUGUUUCCCGGAUGGAACAGACAUGAUCCAGAGACGUUUCAGAUUUGGACAGAGGGUCAGCAGAGAACCGAGAGCUUAUCUGGGCUUAUCUGGGCUCACAGGGGCCUGUGCUGGCCUGGACCCACACAGGCCGUGGGGGAUGUACAGGGAGCUCUCUUGCAUCUGAAGACACCUUAGUUUUGUGUGUUGCCAUGAGUUCUUACUACAUGUUAUCCGCUCCAAUGCAUCCUAAGCAGAGAUUAUUAAAUGUAUAACUCAGUAAUAAUAAACAGGUUAAUUAUAGCACAUCA
This is a long non-coding RNA of Columba livia (rock pigeon), 473 nucleotides long. RefSeq lists it as uncharacterized. The record is from RefSeq and is a predicted model, not a curated record. NCBI's taxonomy places the organism in Eukaryota, Metazoa, Chordata, Aves, Columbiformes, Columbidae. The transcript has 2 exons.